Non-coding RNA from Pteronotus mesoamericanus, 354 nucleotides. The record is from the annotation of a RefSeq genome assembly. Lineage: Eukaryota; Metazoa; Chordata; Mammalia; Chiroptera; Mormoopidae.
AUGGCCUGGACCCCUCUCCUCCUCGGCCUCCUUGCUCACUGCGCAGGCUCUGCGGCCUCCUAUGUUUUGACGCAGCCGUCCUCGGCUUCUGUGAACCUGGGACAGACGGCCAGGAUCACCUGUGGGGGAAUCAACGUUGGAAGUAAAAAUGUUAAGUGGUUCCAGCAGAAGCCCGGCCAGGCCCCUGUGCUGGUCAUCUAUGAGAGCAGCAGCCGGCCCUCAGGGAUCCCUGACCGAUUCUCAGGCUCCAACUCGGGGAACACGGCCACCCUGACCAUCAGCGGGGUCCAGGCCCAGGACGAGGCGGACUAUUUCUGUGGUGCAGCUGAGGGCAGUGGGAGCAGCUGGCAUUAA